GGGAUCCAAGACAAACAAUAUUCUGUCCCCCGCUCAAUAACUCUUCAUUCCUGGCCUCUGGAGUGUGGAUUAAUCCUGAGUAACUCUCAAGGUCAAGCCCCCAUCAGUCAGAAUGACAACUUAAAUUGUAAGAAGUACAGAACAUCCCAUUCAAGAUGUCUAAUGAGCAGUUGGAUAGAAGACACUGGAGGGCAGCAGAGAGGCUAGGGCUGGAUAAAUGCAUCUCAGAAUGAUCAACAUAGAGAUGAGUGAAUGUUUGGGAGCUGAUGAGAUCACCAUCUGAAAUAGUAUGGAGAGUGAAGAGAAAAGAGCCUGGGCAGAGCUAUGUGGGAAAACUGGUUAAUGGCCAUGGUCUGGAUAAAGAGCCAACAAAAGGAACAGAGGAGUGGUGAGAUAGGAAGAGAACCAAAGGAGAGAAGAAUCCUGAAAAUCUAGAGAGAAGAGAACACCAAGGAGGCUAGAAUGAUCAACAGUAUCAAAAGCUUCAGAGAGAUCACGAAAGACGAGGUCUGAGAAAGACCAUUAGAUCUAGGAAUUAAGAAAUCAUUAGUAACUUUAAAAAGAGCAGUUUAGCUUGAAUUGUGAGGUUAGAAAACAGACUGUAGAGAAUUAUGAAGAAGGUAAAAGGAAAGGAGAGGCAUCUGUUGUAAAUGGCAUUCUCAAAGACUUUAGCCACAAAUGACAAAUGGGAAGAAAGCUAUGGAAUGAUAGGGAAAGGGGAUGGAAAGAUCAACUUUGAGCAUGAGGACACAUAAGCAUGUUUACAGGAAAUAGGGAAGCAGCCUCUCUCUGAGAGAGAGAGAGAGAGGGAGAGAGACAGAGAGAGAGUGAGACUGAAGAUAAGUGAAAGUGGGGAUAAAAGAAGGGGGCAAUCUGGAGAACAUGGAAUAGAAUAGGUAGAUGAAGAUGUUUUGACUUGGCAAGGAGAAUAACCACCUUAUUAUUUGAGAUUUGAUGACAGAGAGAUUGGCAGAGGUAAUCCAUGCUGAAUGACUUCCAUUUUUUCAGUGAACUAUGAGGUAGUGUUCUGGAGCCAUAGGAGUCUGAGGAGGAAUGAGAUUUAGUAGGGCAGUUGUAUGGAGUGUGACAGUGAGUUAAUUAGGGAGCUGCAAAAGAGUUGCUUUGCAGCAGUGAGGGCCUACAUCUCACCAUACACCAAGAUAAAGUCCAAAUGGGUACUAAGUCUAUAAAUAAAAGGUGAUACCACAAACAAAUUAGGGGAGCACAGAAACGUUUACCUGUCAGAGUUACAGUUAAAGGGAAGAAUUUAUGACCAAAGAAGACAUUGAGAACAUGACAAAAAAUGAAAUGGAUCAAGUUGAUUGCAUCAAAUUAAAAAAGGGUUGUACAAACAAAACCAAUGCAGCCAAGAUUAGAAGAAUUCUCCUCGGAUUCCUUUGAGAGCUGUGUUGGAACAAUAUCCCUAAAGCAAGCCGGCUUUAUGUCUCACUUUAUGUCCCCACCGUUAAGCAAUUUCUGGAAAUGACAAAUAAUGACUUUCCCAUUUCUGUUGGAAGAGUAAAGUAUGAGCUCCAUUAGAAGCAAUAACCUGGCAAGACCUUUUGGGAUCCUAAUCCAUCAUCCAGCCUGAUGACACAGGAGAGCAUUGAACUGAGUCAGAGGUUUUGUAUAU
Molecule: non-coding RNA, 1633 nt
Organism: Monodelphis domestica (gray short-tailed opossum)
Lineage: Eukaryota; Metazoa; Chordata; Mammalia; Didelphimorphia; Didelphidae
Source: RefSeq, a predicted model, not a curated record